RNAcentral lists this ribosomal RNA (497 nucleotides) under uncultured bacterium. RNAcentral describes it as "partial 16S ribosomal RNA". It matches the Rfam family "Bacterial small subunit ribosomal RNA", at positions 28 to 507 of the family's 1533-position model. The record is from RNAcentral.
GAUGAACGCUGGCGGCGUGCCUAAUACAUGCAAGUCGAGCGAACGGACGAGAAGCUUGCUUCUCUGAUGUUAGCGGCGGACGGGUGAGUAACACGUGGAUCACCUACCUAUAAGACUGGGAUAACUUCGGGGAACCGGAGCUAAUACCGGAUGAUAUUUUGAACCGCAUGGUUCAAAAGUGAAAGACUGUCUUGCUGUCACUUAUAGAUGGAUCCGCGCUGCAUUAGCUAGUUGGUAAGGUACCGGCUUACCAAGGCAACGAUGCAUAGCCGACCUGAGAGGGUGAUCGGCCACACUGGAACUGAGACACGGUCCAGACUCCUACGGGAGGCAGCAGUAGGGAAUCUUCCGCAAUGGGCGAAAGCCUGACGGAGCAACGCCGCGUGAGUGAUGAAGGUCUUCGGGUCGUAAAACUCUGUUAUUGGGGAAGAACAUAUGUGUAAGUAACUGUGCACAUCUUGACGGUACCUAAUCAGAAAGCCACGGCUAACUACGUG